CCGGCGACCGGCGCACGGGUGAGUAACACGUAUGCAACCUGCCCUCUUCAGGGGGACAACCUUCCGAAAGGGAGGCUAAUCCCGCGUAUAUCGGUUUCGGGCAUCCGAGAUCGAGGAAAGAUUCAUCGGAAGAGGAUGGGCAUGCGGCGCAUUAGCUAGACGGCGGGGUAACGGCCCACCGCGGCGACGAUGCGUAGGGGUUCUGAGAGGAAGGUCCCCCACACUGGUACUGAGACACGGACCAGACUCCUACGGGAGGCAGCAG
RNAcentral lists this ribosomal RNA (265 nucleotides) under uncultured bacterium. RNAcentral describes it as "partial 16S ribosomal RNA". It matches the Rfam family "Bacterial small subunit ribosomal RNA", at positions 88 to 354 of the family's 1533-position model. The record is from RNAcentral.